Molecule: ribosomal RNA, 427 nt
Filed under: uncultured bacterium
Lineage: Bacteria
Description: partial 16S ribosomal RNA
Rfam family: Bacterial small subunit ribosomal RNA
Source: RNAcentral
UGGGGAAUAUUGGACAAUGGGCGAAAGCCUGAUCCAGCCAUGCCGCGUGUGUGAAGAAGGUCUUCGGAUUGUAAAGCACUUUAAGUUGGGAGGAAGGGCAUUAACCUAAUACGUUAGUGUUUUGACGUUACCGACAGAAUAAGCACCGGCUAACUCUGUGCCAGCAGCCGCGGUAAUACAGAGGGUGCAAGCGUUAAUCGGAAUUACUGGGCGUAAAGCGCGCGUAGGUGGUUUGUUAAGUUGGAUGUGAAAGCCGCGGGCUCAACCUGGGAACUGCAUCCAAAACUGGCAAGCUAGAGUACGGUAGAGGGUGGUGGAAUUUCCUGUGUAGCGGUGAAAUGCGUAGAUAUAGGAAGGAACACCAGUGGCGAAGGCGACCACCUGGACUGAUACUGACACUGAGGUGCGAAAGCGUGGGGAGCAAACA